GACGAACGCUGGCGGCGUGCCUAACACAUGCAAGUCGAACGGAAAGGCCAUGCUCUUGUGGCGUGCUCGAGUGGCGAACAGGUGUGUAACACGUGAGUAAACCGCCCUUGACUUUGGGAUAACUUCAGGGAACUGGGGCUAAUACCGCAUAGGAGCUAUUGAUGCAUGGUGUGGGUUGGAAAGUUUCGGCGGUUGGGGAUGGUCUCGCGGCUUACCAGCUUGUUGGUGGGGUAGUGGCUUACCAAGGCUUAGACGGGUAGCCGGCCUGAGAGGGUGAACGGGCACAAUGGGACUGAGAUACGGCCCAGACGCGUACGGGAGGCAGCAGUGGGGAAUAUUGCACAAUGGGCCGAAGCCUGUUACAACAACGCCGCGUGCGGGAAGACGGCCUACGGGUUGUAAACCGCUUUCGCAUGUGACGAAGCGUGAGUGACGGUAAUGGGUAAAGAAGCACCGGCUAACUACGUG
This 468-nucleotide ribosomal RNA is filed under the name uncultured bacterium. RNAcentral describes it as "partial 16S ribosomal RNA". It matches the Rfam family "Bacterial small subunit ribosomal RNA", at positions 28 to 507 of the family's 1533-position model. The record is from RNAcentral.